UGUUUUUUAAUUAAAAACUAGAAAUGAAAGGUUAUACAUUCAAAUUUCUUUAUUAAUUUUUAAUAUAUAAUUUAUUUUAAAUAUAAAAAUAUAUUUACAUAAAAAAAAGACGACAAGACCCUAUUAAAUUUUACUUAUAGUUUAGCUGGGGAAGCUUUUCAAUUAAAAUUUUUUAAAAAAAAAUAAAAAAAUCUAAAAAAUUUAAAUUUUAAUAAAUUACUAUAGGGAUAACAGCAUUAUAUUUUUUAAAAGUUCAUAUUAAAAAAAAUGAUUGUGACCUCGAUGUUGAAUUAUAUUUCUAUAUUUAAUGCAAUAAUUAUAUAAGUAGAUCUGUUCGAUCUUUAAAAUAUUACAUGAUUUGAGUUCAAACCGGUGUAAACCAGGUUGGUUUCUAUCUUUUUAUUUAUUUUUCUAGUACGAAAGGACAAAAAAAUUUUUAUUUUUAUAAAUUAGCAAAUAAAUGCAUUAGAUUUAGAAUCUAAAUAUAUUUAAUA
RNAcentral lists this ribosomal RNA (494 nucleotides) under Anelosimus arizona. Its description in RNAcentral is "partial 16S ribosomal RNA". The stretch from base 104 to 400 matches the Rfam family "Bacterial large subunit ribosomal RNA", at positions 2074 to 2646 of the family's 2925-position model. The record is from RNAcentral. Lineage: Eukaryota; Metazoa; Arthropoda; Arachnida; Araneae; Theridiidae.